This 468-nucleotide ribosomal RNA is filed under the name uncultured bacterium. Its description in RNAcentral is "partial 16S ribosomal RNA". It matches the Rfam family "Bacterial small subunit ribosomal RNA", at positions 28 to 507 of the family's 1533-position model. The record is from RNAcentral.
GACGAACGCUGGCGGCGUGCUUAACACAUGCAAGUCGAACGGAAAGGCCCUGCUUUUGUGGGGUGCUCGAGUGGCGAACGGGUGCGUAACACGUGAGUAACCUGCCCUUGACUUUGGGAUAACUUCAGGAAACUGGGGCUACUACCGGAUAGGAGCUCCUGCUGCAUGGUGGGGGUUGGAAAGUUUCGGCGGUUGGGGAUGGACUCGCGGCUUAUCAGCUUGUUGGUGGGGUAGUGGCUUACCAAGGCUUUGACGGGUAGCCGGCCUGAGAGGGUGACCGGCCACAAUGGGACUGAGAGACGGCCCAGACUCGUACGGGAGGCAGCAGUGGGGAAUAUUGCACAAUGGGCGGAAGCCUGAUGCAGCAACGCCGCGGGCGGGAUGACGGCCUUCGGGUUGUAAACCGCUUUCGCCUGUGACGAAGCGUGAGUGACGGUAAUGGGUAAAGAAGCACCGGCUAACUACGUG